UACAGAGGGUGCAAGCGUUGUUCGGAAUUAUUGGGCGUAAAGGGAGUGUAGGCGGCUUGUUAAGUCUUCUGUGAAAACUCGAGGCUCAACCUCGAGACGCCGAUGGAAACCCUCAGACUAGAGUCCGGAAGAGGAGAGUGGAAUUCCUGGUGUAGCGGUGAAAUGCGCAGAUAUCAGGAAGAACACCCGUGGCUAAGGCGGCUCUCUAGUACGGUACUGACGCUGAGACGCGAAAGCGUGGGGAGCGAACAGG
RNAcentral lists this ribosomal RNA (253 nucleotides) under uncultured bacterium. RNAcentral's name for it is "partial 16S ribosomal RNA". It matches the Rfam family "Bacterial small subunit ribosomal RNA", at positions 524 to 776 of the family's 1533-position model. The record is from RNAcentral.